AUUGAACGCUGGCGGCAGGCCUAACACAUGCAAGUCGAGCGGAAACGAGUUAUCUGAACCUUCGGGGAACGAUAACGGCGUCGAGCGGCGGACGGGUGAGUAAUGCCUAGGAAAUUGCCCUGAUGUGGGGGAUAACCAUUGGAAACGAUGGCUAAUACCGCAUGAUGCCUACGGGCCAAAGAGGGGGACCUUCGGGCCUCUCGCGUCAGGAUAUGCCUAGGUGGGAUUAGCUAGUUGGUGAGGUAAGGGCUCACCAAGGCACGAUCCCUAGCUGGUCUGAGAGGAUGAUCAGCCACACUGGAACUGAGACACGGUCCAGACUCCUACGGGAGGCAGCAGUGGGGAAUAUUGCACAAUGGGCGCAAGCCUGAUGCAGCCAUGCCGCGUGUGUGAAGAAGGCCUUCGGGUUGUAAAGCACUUUCAGUCGUGAGGAAGGUAGUGUAGUUAAUAGCUGCAUUAUUUGACGUUAGCGACAGAAGAAGCACCGGCUAACUCCGUGCCAGCAGCCGCGGUAAUACGGAGGGUGCGAGCGUUAAUCGGAAUUACUGGGCGUAAAGCGCAUGCAGGUGGUUUGUUAAGUCAGAUGUGAAAGCCCGGGGCUCAACCUCGGAAUAGCAUUUGAAACUGGCAGACUAGAGUACUGUAGAGGGGGGUAGAAUUUCAGGUGUAGCGGUGAAAUGCGUAGAGAUCUGAAGGAAUACCGGUGGCGAAGGCGGCCCCCUGGACAGAUACUGACACUCAGAUGCGAAAGCGUGGGGAGCAAACAGGAUUAGAUACCCUGGUAGUCCACGCCGUAAACGAUGUCUACUUGGAGGUUGUGGCCUUGAGCCGUGGCUUUCGGAGCUAACGCGUUAAGUAGACCGCCUGGGGAGUACGGUCGCAAGAUUAAAACUCAAAUGAAUUGACGGGGGCCCGCACAAGCGGUGGAGCAUGUGGUUUAAUUCGAUGCAACGCGAAGAACCUUACCUACUCUUGACAUCCAGAGAACUUUCCAGAGAUGGAUUGGUGCCUUCGGGAACUCUGAGACAGGUGCUGCAUGGCUGUCGUCAGCUCGUGUUGUGAAAUGUUGGGUUAAGUCCCGCAACGAGCGCAACCCUUAUCCUUGUUUGCCAGCGAGUAAUGUCGGGAACUCCAGGGAGACUGCCGGUGAUAAACCGGAGGAAGGUGGGGACGACGUCAAGUCAUCAUGGCCCUUACGAGUAGGGCUACACACGUGCUACAAUGGCGCAUACAGAGGGCGGCCAACUUGCGAAAGUGAGCGAAUCCCAAAAAGUGCGUCGUAGUCCGGAUUGGAGUCUGCAACUCGACUCCAUGAAGUCGGAAUCGCUAGUAAUCGUGGAUCAGAAUGCCACGGUGAAUACGUUCCCGGGCCUUGUACACACCGCCCGUCACACCAUGGGAGUGGGCUGCAAAAGAAGUAGGUAGUUUAACCUUCGGGGGGACGCUUACCACUUUGUGGUUCAUGACUGGGGUG
RNAcentral lists this ribosomal RNA (1474 nucleotides) under Vibrio alginolyticus. RNAcentral's name for it is "bacterial SSU rRNA". It matches the Rfam family "Bacterial small subunit ribosomal RNA". The record is from RNAcentral. Lineage: Bacteria; Pseudomonadati; Pseudomonadota; Gammaproteobacteria; Vibrionales; Vibrionaceae.